ACUAAGUUUCAACAACGGAUCUCUUGGCUCUCGCAUCGAUGAAGAACGCAGCGAAAUGCGAUAAGUAAUGUGAAUUGCAGAAUUCAGUGAAUCAUCGAAUCUUUGAACGCACCUUGCGCUCCUUGGUAUCCCUUGGAGCAUGCCUGUUUGAGUAUCAUGAAAU
This 163-nucleotide ribosomal RNA is filed under the name Thanatephorus cucumeris. RNAcentral describes it as "5.8S ribosomal RNA". It matches the Rfam family "5.8S ribosomal RNA". Rfam says of the family: 5.8S ribosomal RNA (5.8S rRNA) is a component of the large subunit of the eukaryotic ribosome. It is transcribed by RNA polymerase I as part of the 45S precursor that also contains 18S and 28S rRNA. Functionally, it is thought that 5.8S rRNA may be involved in ribosome translocation. Lineage: Eukaryota; Fungi; Basidiomycota; Agaricomycetes; Cantharellales; Ceratobasidiaceae. The record is from RNAcentral.